RNAcentral lists this ribosomal RNA (253 nucleotides) under uncultured bacterium. Its description in RNAcentral is "partial 16S ribosomal RNA". It matches the Rfam family "Bacterial small subunit ribosomal RNA", at positions 524 to 776 of the family's 1533-position model. The record is from RNAcentral.
UACGUAGGUGACAAGCGUUGUCCGGAUUUACUGGGCGUAAAGAGCGCGCAGGCGGUCGUUCAAGUCGAGUGUGAAAGCCCCCGGCUCAACUGGGGAGGGUCACUCGAUACUGAUCGACUCGAAGGCAGGAGAGGGUAGUGGAAUUCCCGGUGUAGUGGUGAAAUGCGUAGAUAUCAGGAGGAACACCGAUGGCGAAGGCAGCUCACUGGGACGGUACUGACGCUGAGGCGCGAAAGCGUGGGGAGCAAACAGG